CAGGAUGAACGCUAGCUACAGGCUUAACACAUGCAAGUCGAGGGGAAACGAUAGAAAAAGCUUGCUUUUUCUAGGCGUCGACCGGCGCACGGGUGAGUAACGCGUAUCCAACCUGCCCACCACUUGGGGAUAACCUUGCGAAAGUAAGACUAAUACCCAAUGAUAUCUCUAGAAGACAUCUGAAGGAGAUUAAAGAUUCAUCGGUGAUGGAUGGGGAUGCGUCUGAUUAGCUUGUCGGCGGGGUAACGGCCCACCAAGGCUACGAUCAGUAGGGGUUCUGAGAGGAAGGUCCCCCACAUUGGAACUGAGACACGGUCCAAACUCCUACGGGAGGCAGCAGUGAGGAAUAUUGGUCAAUGGGCGAGAGCCUGAACCAGCCAAGUAGCGUGCAGGAUGACGGCCCUAUGGGUUGUAAACUGCUUUUAUAAGGGAAUAAAGUGGGGGUCGUGACUCCUUUUGCAUGUACCUUAUGAAUAAGGACCGGCUAAUUCCGUGCCAGCAGCCGCGGUAAUACGGAAGGUCCGGGCGUUAUCCGGAUUUAUUGGGUUUAAAGGGAGCGUAGGCCGGAGAUUAAGCGUGUUGUGAAAUGUAGAUGCCCAACAUCUGCACUGCAGCGCGAACUGGUUUCCUUGAGUACGCACAAAGUGGGCGGAAUUCGUGGUGUAGCGGUGAAAUGCUUAGAUAUCACGAAGAACUCCGAUUGCGAAGGCAGCUCACUGGAGCGCAACUGACGCUGAAGCUCGAAAGUGCGGGUAUCGAACAGGAUUAGAUACCCUGGUAGUCCGCACGGUAAACGAUGGAUGCCCGCUGUUGGUCUGAAUAGGUCAGCGGCCAAGCGAAAGCAUUAAGCAUCCCACCUGGGGAGUACGCCGGCAACGGUGAAACUCAAAGGAAUUGACG
Molecule: ribosomal RNA, 900 nt
Filed under: uncultured bacterium
Lineage: Bacteria
Description: bacterial SSU rRNA
Rfam family: Bacterial small subunit ribosomal RNA
Source: RNAcentral